AUACGGAGGGUGCAAGCGUUACUCGGAAUCACUGGGCGUAAAGCGCGCGCAGGCGGUCUGAUAAGUUGGAUGUGAAAGCCUACGGCUCAACCGUAGAACUGCAUCCAAAACUGUCAGUCUAGAGUGUGGGAGAGGAAGAUGGAAUUAGUUGUGUAGGGGUAAAAUCCGUAGAGAUAACUAGGAAUACCAAAAGCGAAGGCAAUCUUCUGGAACACUACUGACGCUGAGGCGCGAAGGCGUGGGGAGCAAACAGGAUUAGAUACCCCGGUAGUCC
This 274-nucleotide ribosomal RNA is filed under the name uncultured bacterium. RNAcentral describes it as "partial 16S ribosomal RNA". It matches the Rfam family "Bacterial small subunit ribosomal RNA", at positions 523 to 796 of the family's 1533-position model. The record is from RNAcentral.